This 2194-nucleotide long non-coding RNA is filed under the name Prunus persica (peach). The record is from RNAcentral. Lineage: Eukaryota; Viridiplantae; Streptophyta; Magnoliopsida; Rosales; Rosaceae.
UAACAUCCCAUCUCACAUCAACCAACGGAGAGGGGUUGAUGUGCCUUAUAUGUACAUGUCCACUUUCAUCUAGCACGAGGCCUUUUGGGUGCUCACUGGCUUUGGAGUUAUGAGAACUCCGAAGUUAAGCGAGUUUGGACUAGAGCAAUCUCAGGAUGGAUGACCCACUGAGAAGUUGCUCGUGAGUUCCCAGAAACAAAACCGUGCGGACAAAGAAGGAGACUCAAAACGAACAAUAUGGUGCUACGGCGAAAUCGGAAUGUGACAUAACAUCAUGUAUUAAUAGUGGCCAAAGUCCCGAUCAUGAUCCUACCGAAGAAAGAAGAAAAUAAUGAAAAAAAAAAACAAUCCUUAGCAAACACUUUAAUAAGAUUUAAAUAGAAUAUGAUUCGGGGCACUACUGUGCGUAGUGUCUUUGUAGAAAACCGACAUAAAGAAAUAGAGAAAAUCGAACUUAUCCUCUGCAGAGACAGAGAUGCCUUAACCUGCAGCAUGUGUCGAUAAAUUAUGGCUCCGAUGAUUAGCCUUCAUAUUUUAAGAACAAAUUCUCAUUGACUUUAUCAUGCCACAACUACAUGCAUGCAUGGCUCCCACUCAACUGAAGCACUCAAUCUGAACAAGUCAACGCCCUUCUUUUCUUUCCAACUAUAUGUAGAAGCAAAAAUGAUGUAAAAUAUGAGCUUCCCAUAAAAAAAGGUACAUAUAUUCCAAAAGUGGAAGAGCUUUAACUGUCACACGAUGGAAUAGAAUCAUACCUUUAAUUUUUGAGGUAUGAGUUGUCUGCAUGCAGUCUAUGGCUAUAAAUAGGAUGACAAUGCUGCAUUAUGUAAAUGAACUGAAGUGGUUCAGAGCGAUUAAUAAAAAUACCAUUUGUUCAAGAGUCUUGCAUGAGGAGAUGGAGAGUAGAUAUGAGCCAAGGAUGACUUGCCAAAGCAUAUGGCCUUUCCACUUGUUUAUCUUCUGGCAAGCUGUCCUUGGUUCACGUUUGCUCUCUUUUCUCUCAUGUGAGAUUCAAGGACCAACGCCUACAACUGGAGAGGGGGGAGAAGAAUUUACUUUAUAAUUGUGAUGCUAACGCAAAUUUUUGCUUGUGUUUUCUGUCUGCAGCAACUGGAGGAGUUAAAUCAUAACGUGUUUCCGCGAUUUCCCUUUUGUGAGAGCCUUGUGGUUGAUAAAAUCGUAGCAUUCAACACAAAACUAAUUGAAAUUGGUGGAGAAAUUAUAAGCUCAGUAAGGCGCAUGACUUUACAUCUCUCCCGUGGGAUAUGCCCCCCUCAACACACUCAUUGACAUUCCAGCCAUUGAGCAUGACAUUGUUGUUAUGCAGAACCCUCAAUCCUGGACAUAUAAAUUUCAUGCACUCCUCUUGUAAGUUCAUCUUUAUUUUACUUUUGGUAAACAUAAUUUGAUGUUAUUUAUUUAUUUUAUUCAAAUAGUUCUGAUCACAUCUCAGACUUCUGUGCGUUUUUCCUGAAGUCCCAAUUAUUUCAAGAUUUUUUUUUUUUGGUGCAAUGACACCUGCAAAUGUCUAACAUAUUCCUUAUGGAAUGUCUUUGUAGGGUUCCGAGUGUGUAGGGAAGGCUAGAGAAAAGAAGUCCAGUAGUCUUUCUCGCUUACAGAUGCAGAGAGUGUGGCUGCAAUGACAUCUAUUUGGGUCAGGGCAUUCAGACGAUGAUGAUUUGCAGGGAAAUCUAAUUACUUUAUACCUUGCUUCAGCUCCAUAUUGUAUCCCUACCACAAAAUUUUCCUUCAAUUAUUAACUAAAUAUCUUGUCUACAAAACUACUAACAAUACAUGUAAAAAUUGAGAUUAGAUAAAAACACACACGCAAAAUUUGCAUACAUACAUACAUACAUACAUGUAUAUUGUUGCUACUUGGUAAAAUUAUUUGGGAAAAGUAUUUUACCAGAAGAGGCAACAACCAAGAGAACAACCAGGAAAGUUAACUUGAGUGAUUUCUCCAUAUCUGUUCAAUUUGUUGAUAGCAAGAGGGAAGAAACUAGAGGGUUGUAGCGCCUCUCCAAACUAAAACCUACGAUUUUAUAUAACGUUCUGCCGUGUCGUAAGGUUUGGACUCUACGGAUUCAUGCUUGGAUUUGGUAAAGAAAUAAAUAUAAUAUAUCGACCCAAGUGGUAACUAAGUUCACUUUCAGAAUCAUAUUCAGACUUCAUUAGUUCAUUAUGCUGAAUAAUG